RNAcentral lists this long non-coding RNA (6540 nucleotides) under Citrus x clementina. RNAcentral describes it as "Citrus clementina (C. clementina) long non-coding RNA (CCLE_LNC002710)". Lineage: Eukaryota; Viridiplantae; Streptophyta; Magnoliopsida; Sapindales; Rutaceae. The record is from RNAcentral.
AGAAGAAGAUUUCUAGUAGUCAAGCAACUAGAAUUACAAUUUAGAUAAUUACAAGAAUGAAGCAUCAAGCAUGGCUGCUGUUUAAGAAAUAGGGCAUGUGGAAGAUGGCAUUUACCGGCACUUUAUAAAAGUGAUGACAAGAACACGUCUAGGAUUAGAAAACUGCAGUAGAGAUAUAAGGAUCACUCUGAGCCUGAUGGUACUAGUGAAAACAACAAGUGAGUAUAAAGAUGUUGGUAAAAUAUUUUAAAAAGUCAUUCCCUAUUUAUUUUUUCAUUUGUGGAAUUAUUUAAAUCAUUCCCUGUUUAUUUUCUCAUUUGGGAAAUCAAAACAAUAUAUAAUCUUCAUGUUCAGUUAAAUGAAAUGUAAAUGCAUUUGAACAGGUAGUUAUUUAUGGAAGUUUUAAGAAAAUCGAAAAAAGCACGUCACCUCACAUGCCUAGUUAUUUGAUACUCAAGAUGAACCACAUGCUUGUUAUUUCUGCGACAAAUUGAAAAAAGCGAGGAAAAUGGCUGCUGUUUCAGAAGACCUAGUCUUCCCAUGCUUGUUAUUUCUGCUACAAAUUCUUUCAUCCCCUGUUGCGAAUUAUGACCAAUUCACUUUAUAGCAACUUCUAGCCCUAGGCUAGACAUUAACCCCUGUAAACUCUUCCAAAUCCUCCCGACCCUACAAGGUUUUCUCUCGAGAACCCUUGGUGGCAGGGGCUAGCUCAGCAUAUUUAAAUCUACGAGCACCGCAUUGAAUUUCCCAAUCUUCUAACAUCUCACUGAUAGGUCCCGAUCAAAUACAGAAAAGCAAUGCCUGAUAUUUGUUCAGUUUAUGGUAUGAACAACCAGUAUUUGUUUAACUAAUUUUCUUUCCUUUUAUUCGUCUUGGUUGCUACUUAUUUAUACAGAAAAACAUAAAGGAUACUACUAACUUGUAGCCCAAAAUCUUGGCUCCAGCCACAUCAAAUCCUUAUUAACAACUAGAUAAAAACAAAACAGAAAAAUAAACUAACUUUUCCGCAACAACUUGGACGUAGACUUUUACUCCAAUAUCAAUUCCUCCCGUGCUCUUGUUCCAACUAACUCGCAUGAAAGAGUUACGUGGGAGAAUGAUUGCAUGGUUUGCAUGGGCAUGGUUUGCAUGGUCAAACAAAGUCCACAAGCUUGCUGCUAGGCUUUGAAACUCUAGCUGACCUCCUUGGUUGUCUAACAAUGCCCCCGCCAGGAAGAGAACCCUUGUCCUCAAGGGUCAUAGAUGGAAACUGCUGCUGGAUCACGGUUAAAUCUUCCCACGUAGCCUCCUCUGUCGGCAAUUUGUUCCAACGUACUAGACUCUGUUCAAUGAAUUUCCCGCCACGUUUUAACCAUCGUGUGUCUAAAAUUUCAGCAGGUUCAAGCAUUAGCACACCCUCAUCAUCAAUUGGAGGAAUGUCGCUGCUAUUCUCGGAUAAGUCUCCCAUGGCUUUUUUGAGCAAGGACACAUGGAACACGGGAUGAACACGGGCACCGGCAGGCAACUGUAGUUUGUAGGCGACGGUCCCGAUUUUUUCCAAAACACGAUAGGGCCCAAAAAACUUGCUUGCUAACUUUUGAUGCGCCCGCUUAAACACAGAGGUUUGUCGAUACGGGUGAAGUUUUAAAAACACCAAAUCAUCUUUGUGAAACUGCACAUCUCUACGGUGUUUAUCUGCUGUUUGUUUCAUGCGAUUGGUGGCAAUCGCCAAAUUACGCUUGAGCUGGGCUAGUAACUCAUCUCUGGUCAACAGUGCUUUAUCAACCUCGUUGACCGGUGAGGUGCCCACAUGAUAUUGCGGAACUGUGGGAGGGUCCCGGCCAUACAGUGCCUUGAAAGGUGUCAUGCCCGUGGAUAUGUGAUAUGUCGUGUUAUACCAAUAUUCAGCCCAAGGUAGAUAUUCAUGCCACUUACGCGGCCACUGAUGAACAAAACUCCGUAGGUACUGCUCGAGACAUCGGUUAAUUACCUCGGUCUGGCCGUCGGAUUGUGGGUGAUAAGCCGAACUCAUGCUGAGUUUUGUACCUGACAUUUUGAAAAACUCCUGCCAAAAUUUGCUGAUGAAGAUUGGAUCUCGAUCACUCACAAUAGAUUUUGGCAUGCCAUGCAACUUGAAUAUGCCUUCUAUGAACCGUUCGGCCACUAUCUUUGCUGAGAAGGGGUGAGACAAAGACAUGAAGUGUGCUGACUUGCUGAGUCUAUCGACGACAACGAAGAUGGUGUUCUUGCCUUGUGACAUCGGUAACCCUUCAAUAAAAUCCAACGUAAUGUCAUCCCAAACUUGGCACGGUAUGGGCAGUGGCUGAAGUAGCCCGGCUGGUCUGAGAGUGGUGGCUUUUGUGCGUUGGCAAGUCUCACAAUUAUUAACGUAUUGCUGUACCGUACGAAACAUGGCCGGCCAAUAGAACUGUUGUGCCAACCUCUUAUAAGUACGCAAGACUCCAGAAUGGCCUCCGAUUCUAGUGUUGUGGGCUUCAAACAUCAAUUUGUCACGUAUCUGGUGAGGGACCACAACCCGCCCAUUAUAGAAAACUAAUCCAUUCUUUGUUGUGUACGGUCCCGUUGGUUGAGUUUCAGCAAGUGUAGUAACUUGUUGAAUGUAAUCGUCACCUGUUGCAGCUGUCUUAAUUUCUUCCCAAACAGUUACCUGCGGCACAAAUAAGUAAUUCAUCAUUGGGCUGUCCGGUCGUCGCGAGAGGGCGUCAGCGGCAGUGUUGUCCCGCCCCGGCCGAUAUAGGAUUUCAUAUUCAUAGCCCAUGAGCUUUGCCAACCACUUUUGUUGCUCAGGGGUUGCCGCUUUUUGUUCCAAUAGGUACUUAAGACUCUGCUGGUCAGUUUGGAUUAUAAAUUUCUGCCCCAAAAUAUACGGUCUCCACAUUCGUAUUGCUUCAAGUAUGGCCAGCAUUUCCUUGGCGUAAAUAGACCAAGAUUUUUUUGAGACCCCUAAUGCACGGCUCAUAAAUGCAAUUGGCCUGCCCUGUUGUUGCAGAACAGCCCCAAUUCCGUCUCCUGAUGCAUCUGCUUCGAUAAUAAAAGUGUCUUGGAAGUUUGGCAUAGCCAAUGUGGGGGUGCUGGACAUUGCUUGUUUGAGUCUCCGAAAGGCUUCUUCUGCCUCAUCACUCCAGCCAAAUUGAUUUUUUUUUAGUAAGUUGGUUAAGGGCCGAGCAAUGACGCCAUAUCCUUGCACAAACUUUCGGUAAUAUCCGGUUAAUCCGAGAAAUCCUCGCAGCUCUGUUAUGGUUUGUGGCGCGGGCCAAGAGAGCAUGGCAGCAAUUUUUUUGUUGUCUACUUUGACGCCGUGACACGUGACAAUAUGCCCUAAGUACUCGAGUUCCUGCUGUCCGAAUGUGCAUUUGCUGGAUUUGAGAAAAAACUUAUGUUGCUUGAGAAUCUCCAUUGCCUGUUUCACAUGAUCAAGAUGACUGUCCCAAGUCGGACUGUAAAUCAGUAUGUCAUCAAAAAAAACCAAAAUAAACUUCCUGAGAUGUGGCCGAAAAAUGGAGUUCAUGAUCGCCUGAAAGGUUGACGGCGCAUUGCAUAAUCCGAAUGGCAUGACUAGAUAUUCGUAGUGGCCAUUGUGGGUACGGAAUGCGGUCUUGUGAAUAUCCGAUGGAUUGACUCGAACUUGAUGGUAACCGGCACGGAGGUCGAGCUUCGUAAAAUAGGCGGCUCCGUAGAGCUCGUCGAUCAUAUCGUCGACUGUUGGAAUUGGAAACCGGUCCUUGAUGGUGGCGUCGUUGAGGGCGCGGUAAUCUGUGCAAAACCUCCAGCUUCCAUCUUUUUUUUUGACAAGUAAUACCGGCGACGAGAAAGGACUGGUGCUGGGCCUUAUUAAUCCAGAAUUAAGCAUCUCCUGCACCUGUUUUUCUAUUUCUUCUUUUUGGAAGUGUGCAUAACGAUAGGGCCUGACGUUGAUAGGCUCUGUUCCCUCUUUAAGUGUGAUACAAUGGUCAAUUUCGCGCUUAGGAGGAAGUUGAGUUGGUUCCUGAAAUAGCUCCCUGUAAUUUCGUAAAAGCCCCUGCAUUGCCGCUUGUGCCGUGACCUCUUCCAAUUGUAAUUGGAAGCAAAUUGCAAAUGCCUCGUGUCCCUGUUUAAUCUCCUUAUUAAUCUCCGCUAUUGUCGCCGUUUGUAGAGAUUGAGGAUUGAGCCCUUGUAGAUGUCGUGGCCUAUUGUUCCAAUUGAAAUUCAUAGUGAGAGAUUUCCAGUUGCAUUCUACUGUUCCCAAUUCUUCGAGCCACUGUAUUCCCAAUACCAAAUCUAAUCCUGAUAUGGGCAGUGCGUAGACCGUUAGAAAAAAUGGAAUAUCUUGGAUUAGAAUUUGUAUAUUCUCAAACUUCCCUUGACACGCCAAUUUUUCACCAUUUGCAACUUUGACAGGAAACGCAGCCGUUGGUAUAAUAGGGAGUUUCAGCAAGUUUGCUAGGCGGGUGCUAAUAAAAUUAUGUGUUGAUCCACUGUCAAUCAACACAAUAAUUUCAUAUGGCCCGAUUUUCGCCUUAACGCGCAUCGUUUGUGGUGCCGUCCAGCCGGUUAAGGCAUAGAAGGUGAUCUUGGGAUCGUAGGAUGCUUCCUCAAUUGGCGCCGCGUCGAGAGUUUCCUCAUAUUCUUCCUCGGCUUCUAAGAUUAGAAGUUGAGCUUUAGUACACCGAUGACCUGCCGUGAAUUUCUCAUUGCAGUUGAAGCACAAACCCUGUGCUCGGCGACGUUGCAUCUCCUCCCAAGUAAGCUUCUUGAAUGGUGUUGCCGGUGAGUUCUUAUUGACAAUUGGUGAUGUUGUUGUUGUCCGAUUGGAAAAUGUUGGCCGGAUUAAUUUUCGCUGCCGCGCGAUCUGUUCAUCUUUCAUCCGUGCUAGGCUGAUGGCCUCCUUAAGAGUUUUUGGUCGAAACAAGCGAAUCUCCUCCGAAAUCUCGGGUUUGAGUCCUCCCAUGAAGGUGCCUACUAACGCCCGCUGAGUCCAUCCGUGAACCUUGUUGCCCAGCCUCUCAAACUCCUUUUGAUAAUCUCGCAAUGUUCCAGUUUGUUGCACACGAGAUAAGGCCUCGUCAAAAUCUUCACAUUCCGUCGGUCCGAAACGCGCCCACAUCUCCUCGACAAAUGUGUUCCAUGUUACUGUUUGUCCAUCUUCUUGGUAGGCGCGGCGCAACCAUUGCCACCACUGGUUGGCUUCUCCUUCAAGGUGGUAAGAUGCUAGCACAACUCGUUGGUCCUCACUAGUUUCUUGAUAAUCAAAAAAUUGUGUGACACGGUUGACCCACUCCGUAGGGUCAUCUCCUGAAUAUUUAGGAAAAUCAAGUUUGGCAACUCGUGGGGGAAUCGGUUGUCGUUCCCCUGCACUCUCUCCUUGACUCGUUCGUAACGUGCCUGUUUGAUCGUGCCGGCUUGGGGUUCUUUGGGAUUGGCUAAAUGUCUCAGCUAGUUUGCUGAUCAUGGCCUCCAGGUGGUGAAAUUUGUCAUUCAUUCCCUAACCUAAUCGUUGUAUCUCAUUCUGCAUUCCGCCAAGUUCGUUUUCGACACGUUCAAUUCUCUCUUUGUUGGUAGACAUUGCAAAACUCCUGUCUCUGAUACCAAUGAUAGGUCCCGAUCAAAUACAGAAAAGCAAUGCCUGAUAUUUGUUCAGUUUAUGGUAUGAACAACCAGUAUUUGUUUAACUAAUUUUCUUCCCUUUUAUUCGUCUUGGUUGCUACUUAUUUAUACAGAAAAACAUAAAGGAUACUACUAACUUGUAGCCCAAAAUCUUGGCUCCAGCCACAUCAAAUCCUUAUUAACAACUAGAUAAAAACAAAACAGAAAAAUAAACUAACUUUUCCGCAACAACUUGGACGUAGACUUUUACUCCAAUAUCAAUUCCUCCCGUGCUCUUGUUCCAACUAACUCGCAUGAAAGAGUUACGUGGGAGAAUGAUUGCAUGGUUUGCAUGGGCAUGGUUUGCAUGGUCAAACAAAGUCCACAAGCUUGCUGCUAGGCUUUGAAACUCUAGCUGACCUCCUUGGUUGUCUAACACUCACCGGCAUAUUUAAUUCUAUGUAAGACAUGAAUAGCUCCUGCAAUUAUCAGGAUGACAAAAUCUAUACCAGCUAGAGUGAUACCUACAGAAAAUCCCCUUUUGUGUACCUCCUCAUGAGAUCUUUUUUUUUUUUUUCCAGAGUUGGGACCUUCGUUGGAUUUAAAUCUUGUGCCUUGCCACCUCCAAUGCUAAUGCUCCAGCCAUGCACGUUAUGUGAUGCUGUUAUUAAGCCAGUUGAAGCAGAGAAGCCUCUGUACAUGUACUCAUCUAGCACCAAUGAGAGAUCAAUAGGAAAUGAUAUUAAAGGACGACGAGGCUUUGGUACGCCUAGAGGAGAUUUGGAAACCUUAAUCAACAUCUCCUGGCUGCUAUAAUCAACCCAAGCUCGAAUCGGGUCUCCACUUCUCAGAAGAAUAGGAAUUCUGUGGUUAUUGCCAGAAUAGUAAGAAGCUGGCUCUGAUGCACUGGGGAUGAGGCUUGAUAUUAAUAUUACUCUCAAUAUUACUAGUCACUGGUUAUGUCUCUUAAAAUUUUGA